Molecule: ribosomal RNA, 538 nt
Filed under: uncultured Glomeromycotina
Lineage: Eukaryota; Fungi; Glomeromycota
Description: SSU rRNA
Rfam family: Eukaryotic small subunit ribosomal RNA
Source: RNAcentral
AGGGCAAGUCUGGUGCCAGCAGCCGCGGUAAUUCCAGCUCCAAUAGCGUAUAUUAAAGUUGUUGCAGUUAAAAAGCUCGUAGUUGAAUUUCGGGGUUCUACCGUUGGUCGGGCUUUGUCUGUACUGGCGUGUAGAAUUUCUACCUUCUGGGGAACCAUUAUGUUAUUAAUUUAGCGUAGUGGGAAACCAGGACCUUUACCUUGAAAAAAUUAGAGUGUUCAAAGCAGGCUUAUGUCUGAAUACAUUAGCAUGGAAUAAUAGAAUAGGACGGUGGUCCUGUUUUGUUGGUUUCUGAAUCACCGUAAUGAUUAAUAGGGAUAGUUGGGGGCAUCAGUAUUCAAUCGUCAGAGGUGAAAUUCUUGGAUUUAUUGAAGACUAACUUCUGCGAAAGCAUUUGCCAAGGAUGUUUUCAUUAAUCAAGAACGAAAGUUAGGGGAUCGAAGACGAUCAGAUACCGUCGUAGUCUUAACCAUAAACUAUGCCGACUAGGGAUCGGACGAUGUUAAUUUUUCUUGACUCGUUCGGCGCCUUACGGGAA